Molecule: ribosomal RNA, 662 nt
Filed under: Triticum aestivum (bread wheat)
Lineage: Eukaryota; Viridiplantae; Streptophyta; Magnoliopsida; Poales; Poaceae
Description: partial small subunit ribosomal RNA
Source: RNAcentral
GUCUAGUCUUGUCUCGACACCAGACACCUCUACCGUUUCAACUGGCCCUAAUUUAGGCAUCCUACCUGAAGUUCGAUUACUCUAUGUCAUGUUCUAACUCACCGAUUUUUUCAAAAUACAAGGGCCACAUGAUGUACCUAACGACCAGGAACAUGUAGGACCUCCGUCUCUUCUUCUAGAAGUCCCACAACUUGGGCUGACUCUGUGUGGGGUCACUGCCCUACCUUUGCUUUGUGUCACGGAAACGUUUCUCUUGGGUCGCAGCUAAGACUGUUACGAAGUUGUUAUAUAAGCCACCUACUAACCAACUGCACCUGCCUACCUGAAGACAGAUAGACAACCACCGGGUAGCGCUAGGAACAUGUUCCACUCACUUACGGUUCGCGUUAAAAACCUUACAUGCCAUCAUAUCUUCUAUAACCACAACCUGAUUACUAAACAACUGUCCCUCCUCUCGCCAUAAAUGUAACACGUAAUGUAGGUACUCAAGUUACCCGACAUGGACGUAGAACACUACUUGUAUCCAAUGUCAUUAUACACUAGAGUAAACACAACGUUUAUAACAAAAUAGUGGAUGCCUUUUCAGAGCUUAUACUCUAGCACUGAUACUCUCUCAUAGUCCCACUGGACGGUUCAAAGGACAUGGAGCUUUAGCACCUGAC